UAUGUGAUCGUCUCUCGCAUAUCAAUAAGCGGAGGAAAAGAAACUAACAAGGAUUCCCCUAGUAACGGCGAGUGAAGCGGGAAGAGCUCAAAUUUGAAAUCUUAAAGGGUUUCCCUUUACGAAUUGUAGUUUAAAGAAGUGUUUUCUGUUGAGGUUUUGGUAAAAGUUCUUUGGAAUAGGACAUCAUAGAGGGUGAGAAUCCCGUAUUUGACCUUUACUUUCAACUUUGUGAUACACUUUCAAAGAGUCGGAUUGUUUGGGAAUGCAGCCCAAAAUGGGUGGUAAAUUUCAUCUAAAGCUAAAUAUUGGCGAGAGACCGAUAGCGAACAAGUACCGUGAGGGAAAGAUGAAAAGAACUUUGAAAAGAGAGUUAAACAGUACGUGAAAUUGUCAAAAGGGAAGCGUUUGACACCAGUGUUGUUUUUCUGAAAAUCAAUUAAAGAACUGUUUAUGCUAAGCUGUUUAGACUUUAUCAGCUAUCUGUUUAGUUUUGAGCUUUUCUUUAAUGCACUUUUCAGUUAACAGGUCAACAUCAAUUUCUUUUGCUGUAAAAAAGCUUGAGGAAGGUGGCUUGAGAUUCGUCUUAAGUGUUUAUAGCCUCUUGCCUAUGCAGUCGGAGAGAUUGAGGUCUGCAGCGUAGAUCCUUCCGGGGCUAAAUGCAUUUGUGCUAAGUUAUAGCAUUUUAUAGACAACUUGUUGACUAUGAUUUGUCUUGUAGCUUACUCGCUUAUGUUAUUUUACCUACGCUUAGGAUGUUGACUGAUAUGUAGUCGUA
RNAcentral lists this ribosomal RNA (775 nucleotides) under uncultured Neocallimastigales. RNAcentral describes it as "partial large subunit ribosomal RNA". It matches the Rfam family "Eukaryotic large subunit ribosomal RNA", at positions 24 to 644 of the family's 3401-position model. Lineage: Eukaryota; Fungi; Neocallimastigomycota; Neocallimastigomycetes; Neocallimastigales. The record is from RNAcentral.